RNAcentral lists this small RNA (67 nucleotides) under Arabidopsis thaliana (thale cress). RNAcentral's name for it is "ATSL159870". Lineage: Eukaryota; Viridiplantae; Streptophyta; Magnoliopsida; Brassicales; Brassicaceae. The record is from RNAcentral.
AAUUUUGCUGAAAUUUUGUCUCGGACAUUAGACAGGCAGAUAUUGAUAGGUUUGUAUUAGAAAAAUU